AAAUUCCCCCUCAGAAUUCCCCAAAAUUCAAAAAAAAUUCCCAAAAUUUUCCCCAAAAUUCCCAGAAAAAAAAUCCCAAAAUUCCCCCUCAGGAUCCCCCAGAAUUCCCCCAAAUUCCACCUCCAGAAACCCCCAAAAUUCCCAGAAAAAAAAAACCAAAUUCCCCCUCAGAAUUCCCAAAAAUUCCACCAAAAAUUCCAAAAAUUCCCCCUCAGGAACCCCCAAAAUUUCCAGAAAAAAAAUCCCAAAUUCCCCCACAGGAUCCCCCAAAAUUCCCCCAAAUUCCACCUCCAAGAAGGCCCAAAAUUCCCAGAAAAAAACCACCAAUUUCCCCCUCAGAAUUUCCCAAAAUUUCCUCUCAGGAACCCCCAAAAUUCCUAGAAAAAAAAUCCCAAAAUUUCCCCUCAGGAACCCCCAAAAUUCCUAGAAAAAAAAUCCCAAAAUUUCCCCUCAGGAACCCCCAAAAUUCCAAAAAAAAUUCCCAAACUUUCCCCCAAAAUUCCCACACAAAAACCCCCAAAUUCCCCCUCAGGAAUCCCCAAAAUUCAAAAAAAAUUCCAAAAAUUUUCCCCAAAAUUCCCACAAAAAAACCCCCAAAUUCCCCCUCAGGAACCCCCAAAAUUCCCAGAAAAAAAAUCCCAAAAUUUUCCCUCAGAAUUCCCCAAAAUUCAAAAAAAAAUUCCCAAAAUUUCCCCUCAGGAAGCCCCGAAAUUCCCCAAAAAAAUCCCAAAAUUUUUCCUCAGGAACCCCCAAAAUUCCCAGAAAAAAAAUCCCAAAAUUUUCCCUCAGAAACCCCCAAAAUUCCCAGAAAAAAAACCCCAAAUCCCCCCUCAGAAUUCCCAAAAAUUCCCCCUCAGGAACCCCCAAAAUUCCCAGAAAAAAAUUCCCAAAAUUUCCCCUCAGAAUUCCCCGAAAUAAUUUUCCCGCCGUUUCCCCCCCCCCCUCAGGAACACUUCCGGGUUUUACCGUGAAGGCACCACCGGAAGUGGUGGUGUAGAUGGUGUACUGCUUCUCGCUGACGUCACUGAGGGAGGGGGCGGGGUCAGGCCCGGGGGGCGGGGCUUCCUCCAGGGCGAUGCGCAGGGCCAGGUACUUGGAGAGGUGAUCGACGGUGGCGUUGGAGGUGGUUUUAACGAAGCUGGAGGGGGGAAAAACGGGAGAAAUCCAUGGGGAAUCCAUGGGAAAAUGGGAAUUCUGGACUUGGAGAAGAGGAUGGGAAAAAAAUCCGGGAAAAAACGGCCGAAAAAACGGGGAAAAAAACCCAGGAAAAAUGGUGGAAAUGGGGGUGGGACACGGGAUCCAAUGGGGGGUUGGAUGGGGAUUUCAGCAACUUUGGGGUGGAAAAAUCGGAGGAAUCCACGGGAAAUCCAUGGGGAAUCCAUCGGAAAAUGGGAAUUCUGGACCUGGAGAAGCGGCUGGGAAAAAAAUCCGGGAAAAAACGG
RNAcentral lists this long non-coding RNA (1442 nucleotides) under Parus major (Great Tit). Its description in RNAcentral is "lncRNA (ENSPMJG00000002024.1)". Lineage: Eukaryota; Metazoa; Chordata; Aves; Passeriformes; Paridae. The record is from RNAcentral.